AGAGUGAACGCUGGCGGUAGGCCUAACACAUGCAAGUCGAACGGCAGCACGGUAAGAGCUUGCUCUUAUGGGUGGCGAGUGGCGGGACGGGUGAGGAAUACAUCGGAAUCUACCUUUUGGUGGGGGAUAACGUAGGGAAACUUACGCUAAUACCGCAUACGCCCUUCGGGGGAAAGCCGGGGACCAGCAAUGGCCUGGCGCUGAUAGAUGAGCCGAUGUCGGAUUAGCUUAGUUGGUGAGGUAAUGGCUCACCAAGGCGACGAUCCGUAGCUGGUCUGAGAGGAUGAUCAGCCACACUGGAACUGAGACACGGUCCAGACCUCCGUAACGGG
Molecule: ribosomal RNA, 332 nt
Filed under: uncultured soil bacterium
Lineage: Bacteria
Description: bacterial SSU rRNA
Rfam family: Bacterial small subunit ribosomal RNA
Source: RNAcentral